This 595-nucleotide long non-coding RNA is filed under the name Olea europaea (common olive). RNAcentral's name for it is "long non-coding RNA (OEUR_LNC008306)". The record is from RNAcentral. Lineage: Eukaryota; Viridiplantae; Streptophyta; Magnoliopsida; Lamiales; Oleaceae.
GGUACCAAUGCAAAUAAUUCCAAACUUUCAACUCUAAUAGCAAAAUGUACCAAACAAAUAGAACACCACCGUUUACAAUAUUCGAGCUCUUAUUUAAUAGAGAAGAAUCUUAAACAAAAUACAGAAUGGAAGUUUUGAACGCUUAACAUAGAAAACAUGAAGAUAAUACUGCUAAUUGACAUCCUCAUCAGGAUGUUUAUUACUAGUAACUGAAAGACAUAACAAGAUGGCUCUAAUGCUUAGGGGAUGUUUAUUACUAGUAACUGAAAGACAUAACAAGAUGGCUCUAAUGCUUAGGGGAUGUUUAUUACUAGUAACUGAAAGACAUAACAAGAUGGCUCUAAUGCUUAGGGGAUGUUUAUUACUAGUAACUGAAAGACAUAACAAGAUGGCUCUAAUGCUUAGGGGAUGUUUAUUACUAGUAACUGAAAGACAUAACAAGAUGGCUCUAAUGCUUAGGGGAUGUUUAUUACUAGUAACUGAAAGACAUAACAAGAUGGCUCUAAUGCUUAAGCCUUCUCGAGCAGCUUCUUUAUGUCCUUCUGCAAAGUACGAAGGGAACAAAUUUUCAGUUCUUGAUUACCUUGCCAAUGCA